CGAAGGCUAAGUACUCCUUACUGACCGAUAGUGAACCAGUACCGUGAGGGAAAGGUGAAAAGCACCCCGACGAGGGGAGUGAAACAGUACCUGAAACCGAACGCCUACAAUCAGUCGGAGCCCCCUUGCGGGGUGACGGCGUACCUUUUGUAUAAUGGGUCAUCGACUUGGUCUAUCUAGCAAGCUUAAGCCGUUAGGUGUAGGCGCAGCGAAAGCGAGUCUUAAUAGGGCGUCAAGUCUGUCGGAUUAGACCCGAAACCGAGUGAUCUAGCCAUGUGCAGGAUGAAGGUGGGGUAACACCCACUGGAGGUCCGAACCAGUGCCCGUUGAAAAGGUCUUGGAUGACGUGUGGCUAGGGGUGAAAGGCCAAUCAAACUCGGAAAUAGCUGGUUCUCCGCGAAAUCUAUUUAGGUAGAGCGUCUCGUGAAUACCCAUGGGGGUAGAGCACUGGAUGGGCUAGGGGGUCCCAACGACUUACCAAACCUAACCAAACUCCGAAUACCAUGGAGUAAUGCGAGGCAGACACACUGCGGGUGCUAAGGUCCGUAGUGAAGAGGGAAACAGCCCUGACCGCCAGCUAAGGUCCCUAAGUUAUCACUAAGUGGGAAACGAUGUGGGAGUGCUUAGACAACCAGGAGGUUGGCUUAGAAGCAGCCAUCCUUUAAAGAAAGCGUAAUAGCUCACUAGUCGAGUCGGCCUGCGCGGAAGAUGUAACGGGGCUAAACGUAGAACCGAAGCUGCGGAUGCACUAUGUGCAUGGUAGAGGAGCGUUCUGUACGCCUGCGAAGGUGAGUCGAGAGGCUUGCUGGAGGUAUCAGAAGUGCGAAUGCUGACAUGAGUAACGACAAAGGGGGUGAAAAACCCCCUCGCCGGAAGACCAAGGUUUCCUGCCCCAUGCUAAUCAGGGCAGGGUUAGUCGGCCCCUAAGGUGAGGCUGAAAAGCGUAAUCGAUGGGAAACGGGUUAAUAUUCCCGUACUUGUUAUAACUGCGAUGGAGGGACGGAGUAGGCUAGGCGAUCGCGGCGUUGGUUGUCCGCGUUUAAGCUAGUAGGCUGAGGACUUAGGCAAAUCCGGGUCCUUAAGGCUGAGAGGUGAUGACGAGCUCUCUUUUGAGUGAAGUCGUUGAUGCCAUGCUUCCAAGAAAAUCUUCUAAGCUUCAGGUUAUAACGAACCGUACCCCAAACCGACACAGGUGGUCAGGUAGAGAAUACCAAGGCGCUUGAGAGAACUCGGGUGAAGGAACUAGGCAAAAUGGUACCGUAACUUCGGGAGAAGGUACGCCGGUUUUGGUGAUGGGACUUGCUCCCUAAGCUGAGGCUGGCCGAAGUGACCAGGUGGCUGCGACUGUUUAUCAAAAACAUAGCACUCUGCAAACACGAAAGUGGACGUAUAGGGUGUGACGCCUGCCCGGUGCCGGAAGGUUAAUUGAUGGGGUUAGCGUAAGCGAAGCUCUUGAUCGAAGCCCCGGUAAACGGCGGCCGUAACAAUAACGGUCCUAAGGUAGCGAAAUUCCUUGUCGGGUAAGUUCCGACCUGCACGAAUGGCGUAACGACUUCCCCGCUGUCUCAACCGCGAACUCGGCGAAAUUGCACUACGAGUAAAGAUGCUCGUUACGCGCAGCAGGACGGAAAGACCCCGGGACCUUUACUAUAGCUUGGUAUUGGUGUUCGGUGCGGCUUGUGUAGGAUAGGUGGGAGACUGUGAAGCGGACACGCCAGUGUUCUUGGAGUCGUUGUUG
RNAcentral lists this ribosomal RNA (1738 nucleotides) under Chaetoceros affinis. Its description in RNAcentral is "partial Bacterial large subunit ribosomal RNA". It matches the Rfam family "Bacterial large subunit ribosomal RNA", at positions 460 to 2194 of the family's 2925-position model. Lineage: Eukaryota; Bacillariophyta; Thalassiosirophyceae; Chaetocerotales; Chaetocerotaceae. The record is from RNAcentral.